RNAcentral lists this ribosomal RNA (520 nucleotides) under uncultured bacterium. RNAcentral's name for it is "bacterial SSU rRNA". It matches the Rfam family "Bacterial small subunit ribosomal RNA", at positions 773 to 1285 of the family's 1533-position model. The record is from RNAcentral.
AGUGAAUAGAUACCCAGGUAGUCCACGCCCUAAACGAUGCGCAUUAGACCGGUGCAGGUCUGACCCUGUAUUGGUCGUAGAGAAAUUGAUAAAUGCGCCGCCUGGGGAGUACGGUCGCAAGGCUAAAACUCAAAGGAAUUGACGGGGGCUCACACAAGCGGUGGAGCAUGUUGCUUAAUUCGAAGCAACGCGAAGAACCUUACCUGGGUUUGACAUGCACGGAUUAGUUCUUGGAAACAGGGAUGACACCCGCAAGGGUGGAACGUGCACAGGUGCUGCAUGGCUGUCGUCAGCUCGUGCUGUGAAGUGUCGGGUUAAGUCCUCUAACGAGCGCAACCCCUGUCGCUAGUUGCUAACGGGUAAUGCCGAGGACUCUAGCGAGACUGCCGGCGUAAGUCGGAGGAAGGCGGGGAUGACGUCAAGUCCUCAUGGCCCUUACAUCCAGGGUUGCAAACGUGCUACAAUGGUGCGUACAGAGCGACGCGAGGCCGCAAGGCGGAGCAAAUCGCAAAAAACCGCA